This 703-nucleotide ribosomal RNA is filed under the name uncultured bacterium. RNAcentral's name for it is "bacterial SSU rRNA". It matches the Rfam family "Bacterial small subunit ribosomal RNA", at positions 143 to 848 of the family's 1533-position model. The record is from RNAcentral.
AUAGCCUUUCGAAAGAAAGAUUAAUACCCGAUGGCAUAGUUCUUCCGCAUGGUGGAACUAUUAAAGAAUUUCGGUCAUCGAUGGGGAUGCGUUCCAUUAGGUUGUUGGCGGGGUAACGGCCCACCAAGCCUUCGAUGGAUAGGGGUUCUGAGAGGAAGGUCCCCCACAUUGGAACUGAGACACGGUCCAAACUCCUACGGGAGGCAGCAGUGAGGAAUAUUGGUCAAUGGACGAGAGUCUGAACCAGCCAAGUAGCGUGAAGGAUGACUGCCCUAUGGGUUGUAAACUUCUUUUAUACGGGAAUAAAGUGAGGCACGUGUGCCUUUUUGUAUGUACCGUAUGAAUAAGGAUCGGCUAACUCCGUGCCAGCAGCCGCGGUAAUACGGAGGAUCCGAGCGUUAUCCGGAUUUAUUGGGUUUAAAGGGAGCGUAGGCGGACGCUUAAGUCAGUUGUGAAAGUUUGCGGCUCAACCGUAAAAUUGCAGUUGAUACUGGGUGUCUUGAGUACAGUAGAGGCAGGCGGAAUUCGUGGUGUAGCGGUGAAAUGCUUAGAUAUCACGAAGAACUCCGAUUGCGAAGGCAGCUUGCUGGACUGUAACUGACGCUGAUGCUCGAAAGUGUGGGUAUCAAACAGGAUUAGAUACCCUGGUAGUCCACACAGUAAACGAUGAAUACUCGCUGUUUGCGAUAUACAGUAAGCGGCC